GACGAACGCUGGCGGCGUGCUUAACACAUGCAAGUCGAACGGAAAGGCCCUGCUUUUGUGGGGUGCUCGAGUGGCGAACGGGUGAGUAACACGUGAGUAACCUGCCCUUGACUUUGGGAUAACGUCAGGAAACUGGGGCUAAUACCGGAUAGGAGCUCCUGCUGCAUGGUGGGGGUUGGAAAGUUUCGGCGGUUGGGGAUGGACUCGCGGCUUAUCAGCUUGUUGGUGGGGUAGUGGCUUACCAAGGCUUUGACGGGUAGCCGGCCUGAGGGGGUGACCGGCCACAUUGGGACUGAGAUACGGCCCAGCCUCCUACGGGAGGCAGCAGUGGGGAAUAUUGCACAAUGGGCGGAAGCCUGAUGCAGCAACGCCGCGUGCGGGAUGACGGCCUUCGGGUUGUAAACCGCUUUCGCCUGUGACGAAGCGUGAGUGACGGUAAUGGGUAAAGAAGCACCGGCUAACUACGUG
Molecule: ribosomal RNA, 468 nt
Filed under: uncultured bacterium
Lineage: Bacteria
Description: partial 16S ribosomal RNA
Rfam family: Bacterial small subunit ribosomal RNA
Source: RNAcentral